UACGUAGGGUGCAAGCGUUAAUCGGAAUUACUGGGCGUAAAGCGUGCGCAGGCGGUUUUGUAAGACUGUCGUGAAAUCCCCGGGCUCAACCUGGGAAUGGCGAUGGUGACUGCAAGGCUAGAGUUUGGCAGAGGGGGGUAGAAUUCCACGUGUAGCAGUGAAAUGCGUAGAUAUGUGGAGGAACACCGAUGGCGAAGGCAGCCCCCUGGGUCAAAACUGACGCUCAUGCACGAAAGCGUGGGGAG
This 245-nucleotide ribosomal RNA is filed under the name uncultured Duganella sp. RNAcentral describes it as "partial 16S ribosomal RNA". It matches the Rfam family "Bacterial small subunit ribosomal RNA", at positions 524 to 768 of the family's 1533-position model. The record is from RNAcentral. Lineage: Bacteria; Pseudomonadati; Pseudomonadota; Betaproteobacteria; Burkholderiales; Oxalobacteraceae.